Carassius auratus (goldfish) is the source of this 2918-nucleotide long non-coding RNA. RefSeq lists it as uncharacterized. The record is from RefSeq and is a predicted model, not a curated record. Lineage: Eukaryota; Metazoa; Chordata; Actinopteri; Cypriniformes; Cyprinidae. The transcript is spliced from 4 exons.
UGUGUACUGCAAACACAUCAACUGUCUGUUGCUCUGUUCCCCUUUCAGGCUUGAAUUGAUGAAACUAAGGUCAUUUAAAACUAAUAAAACUAAGGUCAUUUAUUUUGAAAGUUGAAGCUUAUUCCAUGAUUAUGGAAAAGGGUGUUACAUUUCAGAUGAGUGCUUGUGGUGAUUGGCCAGUCACAAUGCAAUGGGGCAGUUGGCCAAUCAGAGCAGACUACUCUUGUCGGAAAGAGGGACUUUGUAGAAAACUAUGCGUUUAAGAGAGGCAGGGCAUAGAGGACCUACAGUAAUGUACAGUAUUUUAAAUAUAAUGUGUUUUUUUAACAUUGCAGCAUGUCAACAUAUUCUGUUAAACCAAAUACACAAAAUAAUGAUCUUUAAAAAAGCAUCAUAUGACCCCUUUAACCUUACGCAAAAUAACAUGAUUUAUCAUUGUAAUUUUGACUUUAUUCUUAUAUUAUGAUGUUAAUUUAUUCAACGUGGCACUUAAAUGCUGCCAUAUAGGCUAUUUGUACAGUCAUGGUCAGAAAUAUCAGCAUCAUUGGUAAAUAUGAUUAAAGAAGGCUGUGUAAAGUAUUCCGCACUGUUAAUCCUUUUGAUUUUUUAAUCUAACCUUUCAUUGGAUAAUAAGAAUUUAAAAUGGGGGGAAAUAUUAUUAUGAAAUUAAUGUUUUAAAUAUAUUUUUUCAUUUUAUCCGGUUCACGAACGAAUCACUCAGUGUAACUAGAUCUUCUUCUUCAACCAGUUCACCAAAUCGAACUGAAACGUUUGAAACGUUUAUUAUUAUCUCCAAUAAUCAACAAAUGACUUAACCGGUUAACUUUUUUAAUGUGGCUGACACUCCCUCUGAGCAGGGCCGUGCAGAGUCCUUUGGAGGGGCAGCUGCUCAAAGUAUAAAAGGGGCACAUGGAACAAGGCUUUAAAUGGCGCUGUUCAAAAUAUCAAUACAGCAAUAUAUUGUGAAGCAUUCUUUGCUGAUUCGCGUAUCAAAAUUGAGUUUAAGUUCAUUGUUGUGAGGUGGUUUUGCUCAAGACAGACGACAGAAAGUGCAUUAGAGAGCAUUUGUUUUCCUUCUUUUUACAAAUUCACAAGGUUUUGUUGAUAUUGUGAAUGCAAACACAUAAAAAAAAAGGAUUUACACUUGCUGUUGUAAACAGCCCCCUGUGGCAGUGUAAAUACGCAGAGUUACCCUUAUUAACACUGUUGAGUGUUAAUAGUCACAUCCGGGACAUUUACUGGUGUGCAUCUGAAACAGCCUUUUUUUUUUUGCUUGUGAUGCGGCAAAUAUGAGGAUGGAAAACGGCGAAAGAAAGUGUAUAAUCUUACUCAUAAAAUGUGUUUUUUAAUAUCAUAUCGUUUUAUAAUGAUAUUUUUUUGCUGUGUGCGCAUAAACUUUUCUCAAUUUCAUUUUCUUUCACUCGCGAUGCGGAACAGACGAGGACGUCUAUUAUUUUCUGUAAGGGCAUUCUGAAAGUAAGUUAAGUGAUUUUAUCUCAUUUAAAAUAUGUGUUUAAUGACAUUAUAUUGAUUUAUAGCGAUAUUUAUGUGCUGUUCUCUCCACAACUUUUUCUCAAGAAGGAUAUUUUCUUCCUCUCAUGAUGGGGAGAAGAACCAUAAAUUUAAACUGCAGUGCAGCACAGACACGGGUUAACGUUAACUAACUUAGAGAGGGGAGAGACCAGAGAGAGAUAACGUUAGAUUCUUUUACUCGAAGCGGAACAGAUGGGGAAGUUGGUUUUAACAAGGAAAACACAGAAAUUGAGUUGGAUUGAAUUGCUUUGCUAAUAGAGUGUCAUGAACGCACACUCAUGCACAGAGAUCAACAGUCAGGUAAAUAAAUUAUGACAUUUUUAUCUUUUGGGGCGAAAUAACCCUUAAAACAAAUUGUUCACCUGAAUUGUUAUGAACUUAUACUCAUGCGGAUCCACAGACACCUUGUAAGACAUAUAUGUCAUACAGGAUUGGAACCAUUGGAAGAUAAAAAAAAAAAAAUGAUGACAGAAUUUUUGGGUAAAUGUUUUGAUUAAAUUAUUAUUGCAUUGUAAUUGAUACUUGUCCCUGAUAUUUCACUUGUUAAUAAUAGCUUGAUAAAUGGAUGUGAAAUUAUCCUGCACUCCCCCCCCCCCAUUUUACAGGAGCACUUUUGUGAUGCUGCAAGUAGGAGUGGAUUUCUUGCUUAGCUGGAAAAUGCAGAGAACAAUGUCUUGUCGUCCCUGGAAAAAAGAAAGAGACUACUUUCUCCAAGAAGGUCCAAACGCCAUUGGCACAGACUUUUUUCAGUGAUCAGUAACAUACAUUCUGCCAGGGCCGUCCUUAUGGGGGUGUAAUUGGUGCAGUCUCACCGGACUCCACACUUGAGGGGUAAAUGGACUGAAUGAUCCCCCCGCCUGGGAACACUCCCUACUUUGCACCAAGCCACACAUCAGAUAAGUACGGCCCGGCAUUCAUGGUUGAUGGUAAUGAAUGAGAUGCUGUGUUUUAAGCAGAUAAAUCUAAGCACUAUCCACCUUUUUCCUCAAUGCGGAAGUAAGCCUAUGGGUGAGACUUCGGUUUCAUUAGCCGCUAUAACGAGGUGAAUAACAACGUGCAGUAAAUGGUAAAACUGUUUGCAGUACAAACAAGUGUGUUCUUAAUAUAGAUAACAUAACAAAUGAGCCCAGAAGCUAAACCCAUAGAAUUUACAAAUGGCGACACCCAUUUUUACGUCAGGAAAAAGGUGGAUAAACUUAUUGAAAUUCAGAAUACAUAUGGACCAAAUAAGAAUAUGUAUUUUGUGCCUUUACACUGAUUUGCUUUAACAUUGUGUUAAUUUUGUAAGAACAUGUUGUUUACAUGUAUUGAAAACACUGAAUGUGAAGACAUUUUGGUGCAGGGAUAAAGUUACAAUGUUUCAGUUUAAAUAAAUAAAUGUAAAC